GUGGACAUAGCUCAGCUGGUUAGAGCACCUGGUUGUGGCCCAGGAGGCCGUGGGUUCGAGUCCCAUUGUCCACCCCA
RNAcentral lists this transfer RNA (77 nucleotides) under Desulfobulbus sp. Tol-SR. Its description in RNAcentral is "tRNA-His". It matches the Rfam family "tRNA". Rfam says of the family: Transfer RNA (tRNA) molecules are approximately 80 nucleotides in length. Their secondary structure includes four short double-helical elements and three loops (D, anti-codon, and T loops). RNAcentral also lists the same sequence under 1 other name. Lineage: Bacteria; Pseudomonadati; Thermodesulfobacteriota; Desulfobulbia; Desulfobulbales; Desulfobulbaceae. The record is from RNAcentral.